CGCUAGUGGCCUGGUGGUUAGAGCGUCCGCCUCGAAUGCGGGAGGUCGCGGAUUCAAUCCCCGGCCUAAUUAUACCA
Non-coding RNA from Potamilus streckersoni, 77 nucleotides. NCBI's taxonomy places the organism in Eukaryota, Metazoa, Mollusca, Bivalvia, Unionida, Unionidae. The record is from the annotation of a GenBank genome assembly.